Myotis myotis is the source of this 248-nucleotide long non-coding RNA. RefSeq lists it as uncharacterized. NCBI's taxonomy places the organism in Eukaryota, Metazoa, Chordata, Mammalia, Chiroptera, Vespertilionidae. The record is from RefSeq and is a predicted model, not a curated record. The transcript has 3 exons.
AGAUGUUCCGUGUGAGAAGGUUGAGGGGAGGCCGAUGUCCCUGCUGGCUGUUGGGUGUGAUGGAAGCGGCCAGGAGUCGUGUGGGCAGCUGUUGGAGGGAGCCGUGGCGGAGCGGUGUAGGUGGCGGCCAAGUCAUGCAUUGAUGGUGGAUGUUCAUUCCCGUUUGGCCAUCCAUGCGAGGUGAUUGUUCUUUGGAGCUUCCCUGUGCGGUGACCCAGUGUGUCCUUGGGUGGAUGCCUUUCUGUUCU